RNAcentral lists this ribosomal RNA (484 nucleotides) under uncultured bacterium. RNAcentral's name for it is "partial 16S ribosomal RNA". It matches the Rfam family "Bacterial small subunit ribosomal RNA", at positions 29 to 507 of the family's 1533-position model. The record is from RNAcentral.
AGUGAACGCUGGCGGUAGGCCUAACACAUGCAAGUCGAGCGGAUGCAGGGUGCUUGCUCGUGGAUUCAGCGGCCGAGUGGCGAGUAGGGGCGAGGAAUAUGCCUAUUAGUGUUGUAGAACGGCCUAAAACGGGCGCUCAUACGGCAUUAGUCCAUAGGACGUACGUGGGAGAGCUGCGGACCUCACGCCAUCACAUGAGCCUAGGUCGGAUUAGCUAGUUGGUGGGGUAAAGGCGUACCAAGGCGACGAUCCGUAACUGGUCUGAGAGGAUGAUCAGUCACACUGGAACUGAGACACGGUCCAGACUCCUACGGGAGGCAGCAGUGGGGAAUAUUGGACAAUGGGCGCAAGCCUGAUCCAGCCAUACCGCGUGUGUGAAGAAGGUCUUCGGAUUGUAAAGCACUUUUGGUGGGAAAGAAGAGCAGUAAGUUAAUACCCUGCUGUUUUGACGUUACCCAAAGAAUAAGCACCGGCUAACUUCGUG